RNAcentral lists this small nuclear RNA (108 nucleotides) under Fukomys damarensis (Damara mole-rat). RNAcentral's name for it is "U2 spliceosomal RNA". It matches the Rfam family "U2 spliceosomal RNA". From Rfam's summary of the family: U2 is a small nuclear RNA (snRNA) component of the spliceosome (involved in pre-mRNA splicing). Lineage: Eukaryota; Metazoa; Chordata; Mammalia; Rodentia; Bathyergidae. The record is from Rfam by way of RNAcentral.
AUCACUUCUCAGCCUUUCGGCUAAGAUCAAGUGUAGUAUCUGUUCUUAUCAGUUCAAUAAAGUCUCCAGUAUUAUUUCUCACUUUAUUAUUUCUGGAGAGCAACGAUA